AUCUCUUCUCUAUACCACAGCCGCCCACCUAAAGAAUGAAAGAGAGAGAGGAGAGAGAGCUCGUGGAAGAGGGAAGGAAGAAAGAAGGAGAGAAAGAAAGAAAGCAAGAGGAAGAGGUAGUUAGGGAUUUCGAAAUUCCUAAGGGUGUGUUCAAGAGAGUGGCCAUAGUUUUUGGGACCUUGAUUUCUAUCAAGAGAGGUAAGAACAAGGGCAAGGCAGAGCAGUGAGCGCUGGAGUCUACCUUUCAAAUGUACAUGUGGACCGACCUUUUGGGAAGCCGUUUUAUUUUUGGAGAUGUUGUGUAAUUUUCCUAAACUAGGUUCACUUUACUCUUUAUAAAAUAUGUUUGUAAUUAAAUGUGAAGUAUGGCCAUACGACUUUUAAAAAGUUUUUUUAUACGGGUUUUUGAGACAUUUUGUUAAACGAAAACAUUUAUAUUUUCGCAUUAUCGAGUCUUGAAAAUCCGGAUCGUAGUGUUAAAGAUAGCUCUACUAAGAGGAGUUAUGAGGUUCAGGAAAAAGGGCAAGUUGAGCCCUAGGUACAUAGGAUCGUUCGAGGUUUUGGAACACAUUAGAAAGGCGACUUACCGAUUAGCCCUUCUGCCUGCAUUCUCUAGAGUUCAUGAUGUAUUUCAUGUGUCAACCUUAAGGAAGUACGUGAACGACCCCACUCAUGUGCUCAGUUACGAAGAACUUACAAUAGAUCCUGAGCUAAGCUAUGAGGAAAAACCGGUUGCAAUUCUGGAUCGGAAAGAAAUGAUGUUAUGAAACAAAACAAUACCUUUCGUAAAGGUGCAGUGGUGUAACAACGACAUUGAAGAGGCCACCUGGGAGACAGAAACCAAGAUGCGGGAGAUGUACCCCCAUCUGUUUUGAGUUUCAGGCAAGAAACUUUUAUAAAUUGUAGUUAUUGUAACAUCCCGUGUUUUGAACACCCGUUAGUAACCGGUUGGAACCGAUGAAGAAUUAUGUGGAAUAUUAUUUUGAUAAUUGAUAUUAAAUGAAUUGGUGAUGAUUAGUGAAUUUUA
Long non-coding RNA from Humulus lupulus (European hop), 1027 nucleotides. RefSeq lists it as uncharacterized. The transcript has 3 exons. The record is from RefSeq and is a predicted model, not a curated record. NCBI's taxonomy places the organism in Eukaryota, Viridiplantae, Streptophyta, Magnoliopsida, Rosales, Cannabaceae.